AACUGAUACUACCUGCGGGAACCUGCGGAAGGAUCAUCAAAGAAUUUUCCAAAAGAAAAAAAGUGAGAGUGACUUUCUUCUCUCUUGUAAAAGAGAGAGGGGGUGCUCUCUCUUUUUUUCUCCACAAACAAACGAUCACAACUAUUGAAAAGAUAUGAGAAAAGGGGGAUUUGAUUUGGUUGGCCUGAUAAAAAAGUGUUUGCCUGAUAAUCUGAUGAUUUGGAAAAGAAAGAAAUACAA
This 240-nucleotide unclassified non-coding RNA is filed under the name soil metagenome. Its description in RNAcentral is "partial contains 5.8S ribosomal RNA, internal transcribed spacer 2, and large subunit ribosomal RNA". The record is from RNAcentral.